RNAcentral lists this ribosomal RNA (301 nucleotides) under uncultured bacterium. RNAcentral describes it as "partial 16S ribosomal RNA". It matches the Rfam family "Bacterial small subunit ribosomal RNA", at positions 509 to 807 of the family's 1533-position model. The record is from RNAcentral.
CAGUAGCCGCGGGAACACAGAGGGUGCGAGCGUUAAUCGGAUUUACUGGGCGUAAAGCGUGCGUAGGCGGCUUCUUAAGUCGGAUGUGAAAUCCCUGAGCUUAACUUAGGAAUUGCAUUCGAUACUGGGAAGCUAGAGUAUGGGAGAGGAUGGUAGAAUUCCAGGUGUAGCGGUGAAAUGCGUAGAGAUCUGGAGGAAUACCGAUGGCGAAGGCAGCCAUCUGGCCUAAUACUGACGCUCAGGUGCGAAAGCGUGGGGAGCAAACAGGAUUAGAUACCCCCGUAGUCCCUGUCUCUUAUAC